GAGACAGAUCAGUUUUGUAGAGUGAUUCCCAUGUGAAAGAGAGAACAUUUUUUGGAGAAGAAUAAUAGAUGAUGGAAAAUGAUGACCAAUGGAAGGAGAGAACAUCCUGCACGAAACAUUACUUGAAAGAAAUAGAAUUGUUAAGCAGCAGAUCUUGUGCUUUCAGGAGAUGUAACAGGACCUCAUUUCAUUUAAGGUGCCCAGCGAACACUGCUGUCCUUUAGCUUGAGAACUGUGCCUCCAUAUAGCUGAAGUAAAAACUGAUGCUAUUUAUGUUCGUUUUAACUUCAUUCCAAUCUGUUUGCAUUACAUUGAACAUUUGCUUCGACAGACGUUGUUUUUUUUUCCUGCUGAAGGCGAGCAGAUUGUGCUUGGUAUCGCAAGUCCUCCACAAACAUUCCAUAGCUGUGACAGGACCUGCACCUUAUCGCAUUUUAAUCCUUCACACAUAUAAAAUACUUUCAUUAAAUCCCGUCUCCGUGCGACUUCCCAUAGUCCGCUCACAGCCGCAGCGCCGUACACAACGAGGGCAAGGCGCGGCAGGGCCGGGCCCACUGCGGCACGGGGGCCCUCCCGGGGCCGGCGCCGUGAGGCGGCUCCCGCCCAGCCACCGGCACGCAGCGGGCACUACGAGUACCGAGAUGCAGCGCGCGGAGGGGCGGGCUCCGUGGGCACUACAGAUCCCACAAUGCUCCGCGUCGCCCUGUGGCUCCGCUCGGGGAGGCUGGUUCCUAUUUAAAUCUGGGCAGCGAGGAAAAUGGCGGCGAGAGGUUGAGCGCGGGGGAGACGGGGACAGAGCUGCGCCUUGGCUCCUUUCCCAGUCCAUGAAAACAAAGCCAUUAGAUUCAGUGCCCUUGGAGUACUGCUGGUGCUACUCAGGAAAGCCAGGAGGUCCUCGUACAUCUCAGCAUUGUAUUUGA
This 920-nucleotide long non-coding RNA is filed under the name Meleagris gallopavo (turkey). RNAcentral describes it as "lncRNA (ENSMGAG00000022344.1)". The record is from RNAcentral. Lineage: Eukaryota; Metazoa; Chordata; Aves; Galliformes; Phasianidae.